AGUGAACGCUGGCGGUAGGCCUAACACAUGCAAGUCGAACGGCAGCACAGUAAGAGCUUGCUCUUACGGGUGGCGAGUGGCGGACGGGUGAGGAAUACAUCGGAAUCUACUUUUUCGUGGGGGAUAACGUAGGGAAACUUACGCUAAUACCGCAUACGACCUACGGGUGAAAGCAGGGGAUCUUCGGACCUUGCGCGAUUGAAUGAGCCGAUGUCGGAUUAGCUAGUUGGCGGGGUAAAGGCCCACCAAGGCGACGAUCCGUAGCUGGUCUGAGUGGAUGAUGAGGCACCCGUGAAGGUAGACACGGGCCAGGCGCCUACGGGCGGCAGCAGUGGGGAGUAUUUGACAAUGGGCGUAGGCUUGAACCACCCAUGGGGGGGGGAAGAAAAGGGCCUGCGGAUUGCAACGCUGUUUUGGUGGGAAGGAAAGGCAGCGCAUCAACAACCUGCGGGGCAGACGCUGCGAAAAGAAAAAGAACCGGCUAACUUGGUC
RNAcentral lists this ribosomal RNA (492 nucleotides) under uncultured bacterium. RNAcentral describes it as "partial 16S ribosomal RNA". It matches the Rfam family "Bacterial small subunit ribosomal RNA", at positions 30 to 507 of the family's 1533-position model. The record is from RNAcentral.